RNAcentral lists this transfer RNA (85 nucleotides) under Rhizoctonia solani AG-8 WAC10335. It matches the Rfam family "tRNA". Rfam says of the family: Transfer RNA (tRNA) molecules are approximately 80 nucleotides in length. Their secondary structure includes four short double-helical elements and three loops (D, anti-codon, and T loops). The record is from Rfam by way of RNAcentral. Lineage: Eukaryota; Fungi; Basidiomycota; Agaricomycetes; Cantharellales; Ceratobasidiaceae.
GCGUGAGUGGGGUAGUGGUAACCUUAAUCGUUGCCAAAAAAGAAGCACACUCGAUUAGCCAGGGGUUCGAUUCCCUUCUCACGCA